Molecule: ribosomal RNA, 669 nt
Filed under: uncultured Gammaproteobacteria bacterium
Lineage: Bacteria; Pseudomonadati; Pseudomonadota; Gammaproteobacteria
Description: bacterial SSU rRNA
Rfam family: Bacterial small subunit ribosomal RNA
Source: RNAcentral
AGAGUGGCGGACGGGUGAGUAACGCGUUGGGAAUCUACCCAGUAGUGGGGGACAACUACCGGAAACGGUAGCUAAUACCGCAUACGCCCUAUGGGGGAAAGGCUUCGGCCGCUAUUGGAUGAGCCCGCGUCAGAUUAGCUAGUUGGUAGGGUAAGGGCCUACCAAGGCAACGAUCUGUAGCUGGUCUGAGAGGACGAACAGCCACACUGGGACUGAGACACGGCCCAGACUCCUACGGGAGGCAGCAGUGGGGAAUAUUGGACAAUGGGCGAAAGCCUGAUCCAGCAAUGCCGCGUGUGUGAAGAAGGCCUGCGGGUUGUAAAGCACUUUCAGUUGGGAAGAUGAUGACGUUACCAACAGAAGAAGCACCGGCUAAAUCCGUGCCAGCAGCCGCGGUAAUACGGAUGGUGCGAGCGUUAAUCGGAAUUACUGGGCGUAAAGCGCGCGUAGGCGGCUAAGUCAGUCAGAAGUGAAAGCCCCGGGCUCAACCUGGGAAUUGCUUUUGAUACUGCUUAGCUAGAGUUUGGUAGAGGAUAGUGGAAUUCCAGGUGUAGCGGUGAAAUGCGUAGAUAUCUGGAGGAACAUCAGUGGCGAAGGCGACUGUCUGGACCAAAACUGACGCUGAGGUGCGAAAGCGUGGGUAGCAGACAGGAUUAGAUACCCUGGUAG